AUUGAACGCUGGCGGCAUGCUUUACACAUGCAAGUCGAACGGCAGCGCGGGCUUCGGCCUGGCGGCGAGUGGCGAACGGGUGAGUAAUGCAUCGGAACGUGCCCAGUAGUGGGGGAUAGCCCGGCGAAAGCCGGAUUAAUACCGCAUACGACCUGAGGGUGAAAGCGGGGGACCGAAAGGCCUCGCGCUAUUGGAGCGGCCGAUGUCGGAUUAGCUAGUUGGUGGGGUAAAGGCUUACCAGGGCGACGAUCCGUAGCUGGUCUGAGAGGACGACCAGCCACACGGGGACUGAGACCCGGCCCAGACUCCUACGGGAGGAAGCAGUGGGGAAUUUUGGACAAUGGGGGAAACCCUGAUCCAGCCAUGCGGCGUGCGGGAAGAAGGCCUUCGGGUUGUAAACCGCUUUUGUUCGGGAAGAAAUCCUCUGGGCUAAUACCCCGGGGGGAUGACGGUACCGGAAGAAUAAGCACCGGCUAACUACGU
Molecule: ribosomal RNA, 483 nt
Filed under: uncultured bacterium
Lineage: Bacteria
Description: partial 16S ribosomal RNA
Rfam family: Bacterial small subunit ribosomal RNA
Source: RNAcentral